RNAcentral lists this unclassified non-coding RNA (5394 nucleotides) under Hevea brasiliensis (rubber tree). Lineage: Eukaryota; Viridiplantae; Streptophyta; Magnoliopsida; Malpighiales; Euphorbiaceae. The record is from RNAcentral.
CAGUAUAAGAGUCCCACUCCUACUUCAAAAGUUGAUUCCUAUAUGCAAUUUGCUGAUAAAGGUAAUUAUGUAUUUUGGGCGUGUGCUUUUAUUUUUGUUUGGCUUUGGCAUUUGCUUACCUAAUUCAGUGGAAUAGGUAAUGGGUUUUUUAAAUCUUGCAUUUUUCUGUAUGUGGAUUUGACAGAGUGGUUCUAGAUUUCUAGAAUUUCUCUUCUUGGGUGUAUGAUAAAUCAUUACUAAGUUUCUUCUUAUUUGUUUGGCCCCAAUUAGAAAGUUACUCUUAACAUCUGUUAAGAAGUGAUAUGCUUUGAUGCUUCCUGGGUUCUGCGAUGGAUCUGCUCAUAAGUUGAGGUUGAUUUGAUGUGCAACAGCACUAGCAAAAAUAGAAAUAAUGGCGCCUAGAACUAAGCUAAAGUGGUAUGCCGUGGUUAAAAAGAUGCGGUUUGGAAGUUGUAAUCGUGGAUGCAAUUAGGUGUACAAUUUGAAGAUAGCUGGGAAAGGAUCAACUUUGGCUGUUCUGGUAGUCCUGGACAGUUGUUACUUGUUAGAAAGGGUUAUCAGGGCUCUUGAUUAUUGGUCAUUUGGUGUCAAAAACAAAGCUUAUGAAGUUAUGGGGGGUAUAUGAUGGCUCAAGAAAAAUCAAGGUUUGGCUUGGCAUAUGACUGUGGAAACGAAAAUCAGAUUAAUGUUCUCUCUUCUUGGGCCAUGGCCUGUUCUCAAGAGGAGUAAGUUUGGUGGUUCUACUUCAAUUUAUUUUGACUGUUGAAAUUGAGAGUUUUGGACACUGUAUAAAAAAAUUUUUUUAUGGUAAAUUUUGAAAUUAUGUGGCUGUCAGUUCCCACUUUUGUGUUGAUCUUGAUACAAUGACUGCAUCCUUUAGCUGAUUUUGAGGUUUAAACCUUUCUUAGUUUAAUGGUAGCAUUCUAUCAUUCUGCAAGCAGUAGGGAUUUGGCAUUUUUUUACUAAGGUUCUGAGACUAUUAUGUAAUGGCUAGGGGAAAGCUAGGAUCAAGAAUAAAUAGAAGCUGCUUAACUAUAUUGAUGACCAUGACUUUAGGAGUGGAUGUGUCUGACUUGAAAGUUUAUUUAAUAUGUCCAACUGCACGUUGUGGUGGGUUUUGACUCUUACUCAUAAAUUUUUAUUUUUUAAGCUUUAUGUCUUGAUCUUGGUGAAGCCUGGACUCUGUGAUAUGGCAAAGAAGUUAGAUUUCUGAGAUUUAUAUACAUGCUAUAUGAAUCACAGGGUUUCAUCUUUGUUAAAGCUAUUUGAUAAUCUUAUUGCUGAACUUGGUAGCUUAUUAGGCCCUUGGCCCUCAUUUUUUACUUCGUACUUUGGGUUGAAGAGGAGUUGGUGUCGAUCAUGGAAUAACUAGAUAUUGAAAUUUCGGAUCAAGUUAUAUUGGAGUAAAUUUCACCCAUCAUCACUGAACUUAGGGUAUUGUAUCAUUACAGUCCCUAAACUUCAAUUUGUAACGUAAAGCUCGGUAAACUUUAAUUUAAUCAACCAAAAACUCUUUCACCUAUUAUAACCAAUUCCCGGUUGCUUUACCAUAUAUGGCACUGGCAUCAUUUAAAAAAAAUUAAAAAACUUAAAAUCACCUUUAUACCCUCAAAUAAAAACCCUACCGAGGCCCCUCUCUGCUUCGCUAACCUCUCUUUCCCUUUGUGUUUUCCUCAUCACUUAAUCGCAUCUUUCAGUUCCCUACCUACUUCAUUGGCUCUAACUCCUCUCUCAUUCAAGUCAUAGGCUUGUCUUCCUCUCUUUGUUUUUUUUUCCCCCCAUUUCAUCUCGUCUUGGGUUUUUGAGAGUUUAGUGAAAUGGAGUAAUGGACACUAUUAGAUUAUUCAUCUGUUAGAUUUCUGGGUAUUGAAAUGGGCACUUUUCCUAAUAAAGCUAUUCUCUAAGACCUAAGUAACUGGUACCAAAGGCAAAAACAAAACCGAAGAGGUAAUCACGUGGAUAAUUGAAGGUAAAUAAUAAAAGAGACUGAACACAGACAAAAACAUAAAUUUCUCUACUCAAAAUUUCACUCAGAUCCCAUUCAUCAAAUCCAGAAAUUUCACUCUUCCAACGCAAGUUUACAGUAGAUCAUCCAAGUAAUUCCUCAAUUGGCCGACACACUGCUUUCUCUGUCCUUGUCCAUUUCCUUUCACCAUCCAAAAAUUACCAGAAUUUUCUGGAACCUGGCAUUUCACCAAUUCUGAAUUACAAAACCCAAAUCUCAUUUUCCCCAUUCAUUCACUCCCUUUCAAUCCAAUUCAACAAUCUCUCUCUUUCAACACAAAUGGGUGUUGAUUACUAUAACCUUCGAAAAAUUAAUUGAAGCGCCAAUGACAAUGACCUCAAAGGGACCUAGCGGCUGGCAAUGAAGUGGCAUCCCGACAAGAAUCCAUUAACAAGAAAGAAGUCAAAGCUAAGUUGAAGCAAAUUUCUUAAGCUUACGAUGUCCUCAGCGACUCACAGAAGCAUCAGAUAUUUGAUCUAUAUAGGGAAGAGGGGCUUAAGUCUUUUGAGUUUGGUGGGCCCGGUAAUGAGGGGAAGAAGUCGACGACCACUUACAACACGACGUGCGGGUUCAAUCGGCGGGAUGCGGACGAUAUUUUCAACGAGUUUUUCGGCGGAUCUGGUGGCGGUGGUACGGGUGGUGGGAGUGGGAAAAGUGGGUUUUAUAAGAACGGGGAGACGGGGAAUGAGGGGAACAGGAAGGCGGCGGCGAUUGAGAGCAAGUUGACGUGCAGUUUGGAGGAGCUCUAUAAAGGAGCUAGAAGGAAGAUGAGGAUUUCGCGUUCUGUUCCUGAUGAUUUCGGCAAGCCAAAGACUGUGGAGGAAAUCUUAAAGAUAGAUAUCAAACCGGGGUGGAAGAAGGGCACAAAAAUCACUUUCCCAGAGAAAGGCAACCAAGAACCUGGUGUUAUUCCAGCUGAUCUAAUCUUCGUGGUGGAUGAGAAGCCCCAUCCUGUUUUUAGGCGGGAUGGGAAUGAUCUGUUGGUCAAUCAGAAAAUCUCAUUACUAGAGGCUCUCACGGGGAAGACUGUUGAUUUAACAACUUUGGAUGGAAGGUAUCUCACGAUCCCAGUAACGGAUAUUAUCAAACCAGGCCAUGAGAUUGUGAUAUCGAAUGAAGGAAUGCCCAUCUCGAAAGAACCACACAAGAAAGGAAACCUUAAAAUAAAGUUUGAUGUCACAUUCCCAUCAAGUCUCACAGCAGAACAGAAAUCUGAUCUCAAGAGGGUCCUGGGCGGUGUUGAUAAGUAAAUAAGUCAUGAUUCAAGCUUGUGUUGCUGAUCAUCCAUCAAUACUAAUUAUAUAUUAGUUAAUUGGGUAUAAAUACAUUUGCAAUUUCCACUGUUCUAGAGCAAGAUUGUGCAUAGUAGGAAGAAAGAAGCAUUUUAAUCACUAUUAUUAGCUAUGUGGCUUGAGAAAAAACUAGCUAUUAUCAAAGUUGUGACAAGAUGACUUCUAAUUGAAAAUUGAAUACUAAUGACUAAUAAUUUUUAGUUCCUUUUGCUUUGAAGGGGGAAAAUCCUCUGUGUUAUGUACUCGAGAAAUGAUGACAUUUAAUGCAUUAACCUGUUUCUUGACUGUUCUUUCUCCCAAUUUUAACUUUUGAUUUUCUUUAUGUUACUGUUCUUCUUUUUGUUUUAGCAGUUUAAGGAAUAUAUACGAUUAAAAAAUUGAACAUGUCUUUUUAAUUUUGUGCUUGGAAAUGUUCUGAGUUGUCCUGAAUUUGCUGUAGGUAGCGUUUGAGUUGGACGGGAAUAAAUGCCCAAUUUGUAAUCCAUUUGUUUCAAUAAGUAGCACGCAUGAAAAUCAUAUAUAGUUCUGACGAUCGUGUAUCCAGGUAUGGUCCUAGCAUGGUACAUUCCUGUUUCAGCAGCACAAUGGCAAUGAGAUUUCUUUUGCGUAUUCCACCUUUUCGUUGCGAUAUGCUUCUUCUUUCUUUUUCCCUCUAUUAAUGACAUGGGGCUUGGUGGUAGACCUGAUCUUUGGCAUUGUUUGCUUGCUGGAUACAAUCAUAGUAUGAUAAUUGUCAAGCAAGAGGCCUACCAUUUUUAAUUUGUCAAAUUGUCUAUUGUGAACAAAUCAUUGGCAAUGACCAAAACGAGAUAGCUCUAUAUGUGGGAUCCACAUGUAGAGCUCACAUUAAUGUAAUGAAUUGGUUUUAAAUUUCUAUUUUAAGUGAAAAAUCAUAAACAUCUAACUCAAAAAUCUCAUCCUUGAACUGAUUAGAUUAUUGAUCAAACUUCUCAAUAUUGUAAAGCAAAUUUCUCUGUUUUCUUAAGAACCCACUCGGUAUGAAGUCUUUUAUUUAAUGUCAAUUAUUAUUUGAUGUACAAGAGAUAGAGGAGCAUAUAUUAAGCAACAAAAAUGAAACGAGGGCUAGUUUUGUCGCAACAAAAAGGCGAUGGUCAUCGUCCGUUAGCCUUAUUUUUCUUCUGCAGAAUAUCGUCAGUUGGUCACUAUGAUAGAUUUUGGGGCUACAGCUCCAAGCGUCAUAAAGCAUAAUUAGCAAAUUUAUAAUCAUAUCUUGUGUUGUUCAAUCUUGCUCUGCAGCUCUAACUUCUUGACCCCUACAACCUUGUCAACUUGUUUCCCUUUCUUCAUGAGUACAAAUGCUGGUAACGUGUUCGCCUCAAAUUGCAUAGCCACCAGCAACAACUUGUCCACAUCAAUCUUGAUGAAAUCAACAUCUGUGUAUGUUGCAGCAAACUCUUUGACGGCUGGAUCAAUGAAUCGACAAGGUCCACACCAUGUUGCAGUGAAUUGAAUCACCAGCUUGAACACCAGACGAUAAAGCCAUGAGAACUACAAAUUUAUAUAAGCAUUGAUCAUUGAAUUGGAGAUUAUUAUUAUCAAUUACCAGUUUGUUGUUUCCUUUGGAAGCUUCAAAAUAGGAUUUCCAUUGGUCUGUAGAACGGAUUUCCACAACCUCAGCUGCAGGCUUUGUGUAUGAAAAAUCAUUGCAGUGAUCAAAACUAAACCAGCUUGACAUGGUUCUUCCUCUUCGAAAAACUGGGAAACCGAACUCCAUUGCUGACAUAAGUAGCUUCGAGCUUUGUCUUUUGAAGUUUAUAAGAAAUGCUGUGGCUUGAAAAUAAGAACUUGGAGGCAAGGCUUUAUAUAAGGGUGGAGGUGGUGGGAAAUUUUGAGCUGUUUUCAGAGAAUAAGAUUCUUAAUUUCUUAGACGUGACCUUGCAAAUUUAUGGACCGUCAAAAGCUAAUGCGCAAAGAUUUGAGGCACAGAAGCUCAGCCCACCAACUUGAUUCAAUCUGUAUAUCAAUUUCAGUGGCAAUCCAUUGUAAAGCAAUCUUGUUCACCUCAUCAACACUAAUUUUGUAAUACCAGCAGCUUAUAUAUUCUCAAAUAACAGUUUAAGCAAAGCCGUCAGGGAA